ACUUCGGUCCGCGAGUAGAGUGGCAAACGGGUGAGUAUCACGUGGGUGACCUACCUUCGAGUGGGGGAUAACCUUCCGAAAGGAAGGCUAAUACCGCAUAACAUCCUGCUCUUGGACGAGCAGUGAUCAAAGCCGGGGAUCGCAAGACCUGGUGCUUGUUGAGGGGCCCGCGCCCGAUUAGCUUGUUGGUGAGGUAAUGGCUCACCAAGGCUUCGAUCGGUAGCCGGCCUGAGAGGGCGGACGGCCACUCUGGGACUGAGACGCGGCCCAGACUCCUACGGGAGGCAGCAGUGGGGAAUUGUUCGCAAUGGGCGAAAGCCUGACGACGCAACGCCGCGUGGAGGACGAAUAUUUUCGGAUCGUAAACUCCUGUCGAGCGGGAAGAACAGCACGCCGGUUAAUACCCGGUAUGCCUGACGGUACCGCUAAAGGAAGCCCCGGCUAACUCCGUGCCAGCAGCCGCGGUAAUACGGGGGGGGCAAGCGUUGUUCGGAUUUA
This 498-nucleotide ribosomal RNA is filed under the name uncultured bacterium. RNAcentral describes it as "bacterial SSU rRNA". It matches the Rfam family "Bacterial small subunit ribosomal RNA", at positions 77 to 553 of the family's 1533-position model. The record is from RNAcentral.